RNAcentral lists this ribosomal RNA (933 nucleotides) under Niphargus rhenorhodanensis. RNAcentral describes it as "partial 16S ribosomal RNA". The record is from RNAcentral. Lineage: Eukaryota; Metazoa; Arthropoda; Malacostraca; Amphipoda; Niphargidae.
UAUAAAAGAAAUUUAAAUAAUUUACCUUUUGUAUCAGGGUUUUUUAAAAUUAUUAAUUAAUAAUUUAUCUCGAAGCAAUAAUGAGCUAAUUAAUUUAUUUUUGUUGUAGUAAAAUAAUUAAUUAUAUUAGUAAUGAAAUGUUAUCGUAUUUUGGUUUAUCUAGUUAUUUGAAUAGUUUAAUUUAUAAGUAGUUGUAAACUAAGUAAAUAGAAGAGUUAAUUUUUUUAUUUAAAUAAAUAAAAAAAUUUUUUUAUUAUUAAUUAGGUUUAAUAUUAAUCAUAUUUAUAUGUUGUUAUAAAUAAUUAAAUGUUUAAUUAUGUAUAUUAUUUUUAUUUAAGUUACGGGGAUUAUUAUAUUAUUUUUAAAAAUAAUGAAUUAAUUAGUAUUAGAUUUAUAUUAUAUAUAUAACUCGGAGUUUAUUUGAUAGUUUAACAAAAACAUUUUUUUUAGUAAAUUAAAAAUAAGGCCUGCCCAGUGAAUUUUUAACGGCUGCAGUAUUUUAACUGUACUAAGGUAGCAUAAUCAUUUGUUUUUUAAUUGAAAACUGGUAUGAACGGUUUUACAAAUAAUUAAUUGUAAUAUAUUUAUUUAGUAAAUUUUAUUUUUAAUAAAAAUAUUCAAAUAUAAUAAAGGGACGAUAAGACCCUAAAAGCUUUUUUAUUAUUUUGUUUUAAUAAAAUAAAUAAAUUUGGUUGGGGAAACAUAUAUAUAAAUUUUAUUUUAUAAUAAUACAAGUAUUUUUGGUAAUUUGAUCUUUUUUAUAAAGAAAAAUAGAAUUAGUUACUUUAGGGAUAACAGCGUAAUAAUUUUAGAAAGGUCUUAUUAAUAAAAUUGUUUACGACCUCGAUGUUGAAUUAAAAUGUCUAUAUAUUGUAGGAGGUAUAUAAGAAGGUUUGUUCAACCUUUAAUUUUUUACAUGAUUUGAGUUCAAAU